This 296-nucleotide signal recognition particle RNA is filed under the name Aotus nancymaae (Ma's night monkey). RNAcentral's name for it is "Metazoan signal recognition particle RNA (ENSANAG00000001155.1)". It matches the Rfam family "Metazoan signal recognition particle RNA". From Rfam's summary of the family: The signal recognition particle (SRP) is a universally conserved ribonucleoprotein. It is involved in the co-translational targeting of proteins to membranes. Lineage: Eukaryota; Metazoa; Chordata; Mammalia; Primates; Aotidae. The record is from RNAcentral.
GCCUCCCGAGUAGUGGGCCACCACACUCAGCUAUUCGGGAGGCUGAGGCUGGAGGAUCUCUUGAGUCCAGGAGUUCUGGGCUGUAGUGCGCUAUGCCAAUCGGGUGUCCACACUAAGUUUGGCAUCAAUAUGGUGACCUCCCAGGAGUGGAGUACCACCAGGUUGCCUAAGGAGGGGUGAACCGGCCCAGGUCAGAAACGGAACAGGUCAAAACUCCUGUGCUGAUCAGUAGUGGGAUCUUGCCUGUGAAUAGCCACUGCACUCCAGCCUGGGCAACAUAGCGAGACUCUGUCUCU